RNAcentral lists this long non-coding RNA (305 nucleotides) under Elaeis guineensis (African oil palm). RNAcentral's name for it is "long non-coding RNA (EGUI_LNC059094)". Lineage: Eukaryota; Viridiplantae; Streptophyta; Magnoliopsida; Arecales; Arecaceae. The record is from RNAcentral.
AUCGAGACUGGUCGAAGAAGUUCUCCGACCUUCAAAAGUAAUUGCAGGACGUCGAGGCGAACUAUAACACCGACCGAGUCGGUUGGAGCGGACAAGUAGAGGACUAUCGAAGGAAGCUCCAGACGGCGAUCGACGAAGUUGCCUGCCUUCAGAGGCAGCUGUCUGAGAGAGUCCAGCCUGCCUCUGCAUAAGGCUCCGAUGAGCUUCGCUCCUUAAGGGAGACCAUGGCAGAACUGUCUGUGGCCCUUAGACGGGAGGAGGCCGAACUACAGUACUGAAGAUUCAGCUGGUCCACGAGCAGCAGG